CAGUCGCCGCGGGAAUACGUAUGUCACAAGCGUUAUCCGGAUUUAUUGGGCGUAAAGCGCGUCUAGGUGGUUAUGUAAGUCUGAUGUGAAAAUGCAGGGCUCAACUCUGUACUGCGUUGGAAACUGUGUAACUAGAGUACUGGAGAGGUAAGCGGAACUACAAGUGUAGAGGUGAAAUUCGUAGAUAUUUGUAGGAAUGCCGAUGGGGAAGCCAGCUUACUGGACAGAUACUGACGCUAAAGCGCGAAAGCGUGGGUAGCAAACAGGAUUAGAUACCCCUGUAGUCCCUGUCUCUUAUACA
This 301-nucleotide ribosomal RNA is filed under the name uncultured bacterium. Its description in RNAcentral is "partial 16S ribosomal RNA". It matches the Rfam family "Bacterial small subunit ribosomal RNA", at positions 509 to 808 of the family's 1533-position model. The record is from RNAcentral.